Small nuclear RNA from Suricata suricatta (meerkat), 188 nucleotides. Its record names the gene U2. It matches the Rfam family "U2 spliceosomal RNA". From Rfam's summary of the family: U2 is a small nuclear RNA (snRNA) component of the spliceosome (involved in pre-mRNA splicing). Complementary binding between U2 snRNA (in an area lying towards the 5' end but 3' to hairpin I) and the branchpoint sequence (BPS) of the intron results the bulging out of an unpaired adenosine, on the BPS, which initiates a nucleophilic attack at the intronic 5' splice site, thus starting the first of two transesterification reactions that mediate splicing. The record is from Ensembl. NCBI's taxonomy places the organism in Eukaryota, Metazoa, Chordata, Mammalia, Carnivora, Herpestidae.
CUUAAUUCUCAGCCUUUUGGCUAAGAUCAAGCGUAGUAUCUGUUCUCAGCUUAAUAUCUGACGCGUCCGCUCUCGGGGGACGGGACAUUAGGGGAAUUUUUAGAGCAGGGAGCGGGUCCUGGAGCUUGCUCCGUCCGCUCGGCGCAUCGCCCUGGUGUUGCAGUGCUUCCAGGAGCGGUGCCCGCCCC